This 1945-nucleotide long non-coding RNA is filed under the name Mus musculus (house mouse). Its description in RNAcentral is "long non-coding RNA chr12:52706990-52708935". Lineage: Eukaryota; Metazoa; Chordata; Mammalia; Rodentia; Muridae. The record is from RNAcentral.
AAUGUUUGUUGUUGUUUGUUUGUUUCAUUCUGGGGAUCAACCUCUGGGCCUUGAGCUCCACCUUGUAGCUAUCUCCUCAAUCCUGGUGAUUAGAAAUGUAAACAUAUGGGUUUUAAAUAAAACUGAAAAUGAAUAGAUUGAGAAACUGAGAACCAAGGAAAUGAUAAUAUAACCAUCUCAAGAAGAGCUAAGCUUCACCCUGUUGGUUUCUGCUUGGUCAUCCUAGCCCCUUUGUUUUGGUUACUAUUAUUUGGCUUAUUUGUUACAAAGAAGCAGUGAAGAGUGCUGGGUCCCCCGCAGUAAUAUCAUCUCCUCAGGGUUCUGAGAGGGAGCUGGGGCUCUGUAGCUCAGUGGUAGAGGGAGAGGAGAAAUUCCUCAGCAGGCAGUGGCUUACAACAACCUGUUACUCCAGUCCCAGGCGAUCCAAUGCUCUCUCCAUCUCUGAGAGGUCCUAUAUAUUUGUGGUGUAUAUAAACUCAUGCAAGUACACACAAAUACACAUGAUAUAAAGACAGAACGUUGCUGUACAUACUCACAGAAGGACAGACAGACACGUUGGUUCAUCUUCGGGUGGUUGUCUCCUUUGGUGAGUUUGAAGCUCUGUUGGGAUCAGAGAGUCAUUUAUUCUUCUUUAUCCUGAAUUCUUAGCCAAGACUAUGCUUGAUGGAUUGGUGAGCUUGGGGAGAACCGUGAUAAACGCACCCAUGGAGGAGGCCCUUCCCUGUCAGAAAUACCCAGGUGAAAAUAAUUAGGAAAGGCAGAAACGCACAGGAAUGUGGCAGCGAAGGGAGCUAUUGCCGGAGCGUGCAACCUACGCAUGAAGCCACGAAGGAGGGCAGCGCACUCUAACUCACGUGGAGCGAGAGGCAAACUGUCUCUUAGUCAUAAAUAUCUACUUAGAUAUAUAUCUACUGCUGACUUCUGUUCCAGAGACUUGGUUUAAAUCUCAUGCUUCUAAUGUAUUUCUUUAAGAAUAGGUGUUCUUUUUUUUCUUGAAAUUGAACCCAUUUUAAUAACAAACUGUUUUUAGAGUAACUUCCUCUUUAAAAAGACAGACUGCCCAGCAGCAAUUAGAAAAGUACCCGGAAUAAGAAAAUUGAAAACUCAGUGGUUUUUUUUCCUUUUAUGAUGGUAAGACCUGUUUAAAUUUAUUUUUAUCAGUCUUGUGCUACGAGAGAAAUGAUUAUGAUGUCUGAGGAUUCCUUAUGCCUGAAGCACGGGGCAAGGGGGUUGCAGUAUCCAGGGAUAUUACUGUGUUCACAUAGCACUUUUGUGUUCAAAUAGCAAUAGCAUCAGGGAGACACUGGCUGGAGCACUGGCACUGAGCUUUGGUAGGUAUCUUAGGGUAAUUCCCAAAACUUUGGUUUCCUUCACAGGAAAACAAGGGCUAAAACAAACCGAUUAGAUUUGAAUGAUUUUUUAAUUUUCUAUUACCUCAAAUAUUUUGAAUCUCACUUGAAGAUUCUCUGUAUCUUUUAAUUGUUUAUCUUUCUGACUUUCAAUAACAUGAUCCAAUAUUUUAAGUGUGUUUAUUGUCCUCAUGUAGAUGGAAAUAUUUAAAUGUAUUGUCUUAAUCCAGUAAAGCUGUUAUACUCUAAAGUAGGUAGUUUCUAACAGAAACUCACUCCUCAAGCUGGAAGAAGCUGAGGAGAAGGGUGACCCUGUAGGAGGACCAGCAGUCUCAAUUAACCAGGAUACCCGAGAUCUCUCAGACACUGAGCCACCAACCAGGCAGCAUACACCAGCUGAUAUGAGGCCCCCAGCACAUAUACAGCAGAGGGCUGCAGGGUUUGGGUUCAGUCAAAGAAGAUGCACCCAGCCCUCAAGAGACUAGAGGCCCCAGGGAGUUUAGAGGUCUGGGUGGAGGGUGGGGACAGGGGGAUGGGGAGGAGGUAUGGGAUGGGGAACAGUCAGUGGACCAGGAGAUGGAUAAAAUCUGGAGUGU